GGCAGCAGUGAGGAAUAUUGGACAAUGGGCGCAAGCCUGAUCCAGCCAUGCCGCGUGCAGGAUGACGGUCCUAUGGAUUGUAAACUGCUUUUAUACAGGAAGAAACCCUACCACGUGUGGUAGAUUGACGGUACUGUAGGAAUAAGGAUCGGCUAACUCCGUGCCAGCAGCCGCGGUAAUACGGAGGAUCCAAGCGUUAUCCGGAAUCAUUGGGUUUAAAGGGUCCGUAGGCGGUUUAAUAAGUCAGUGGUGAAAGCCCAUCGCUUAACGAUGGAACGGCCAUUGAUACUGUUAGACUUGAAUUAUUAGGAAGUAACUAGAAUAUGUAGUGUAGCGGUGAAAUGCUUAGAUAUUACAUGGAAUACCAAUUGCGAAGGCAGGUUACUACUAAUAUAUUGACGCUGAUGGACGAAAGCGUGGGGAGCGAACAGGAUUAGAUACCCUGGUAGUCCACGCCGUAAACGAUGGAUACUAGCUGUUGGGCGCACAGCUCAGUGGCUAAGCGAAAGUGAUAAGUAUCCC
This 522-nucleotide ribosomal RNA is filed under the name uncultured Bacteroidota bacterium. RNAcentral describes it as "bacterial SSU rRNA". It matches the Rfam family "Bacterial small subunit ribosomal RNA", at positions 347 to 870 of the family's 1533-position model. The record is from RNAcentral. Lineage: Bacteria; Pseudomonadati; Bacteroidota.